AGCCGCGAGGGUCGUGCUGCCCGGGACGAUCGUUGGAAGAUAGAUGAAGGCGGCCGUCUGUUCGGCUUUCGGCAGCGCUGCUGCUGCGCGAACGUCAACAGCUGAGGCAUGAUUUGAAGAAGGGACAGUGCGCGGCGUUGUUGUUUUUUUUUGCACGUCUCCUUGGCUCGGCCUUUGGCGGCGGCGGCUGUGCUUGGCAGAAAAUCGCUUCGAAAACCUGCGAAGCAGUUUGAGCUGUAUUUCUGCGCUUGCGUGUCUACAAAACAGCGAAGUCGUGGUCUUCGAAAGAGCCCGGAGUUUGACCGCGCGUUCGGAGCUCCUCGAGAACUCGCGGCGUGAGUACACCACGCGCACACGGGUGUCUGUUUCCCGGCUGUUCUUAGACACCGGUUGACCGCGCACGUGACGGUCACUUGCAAGUUCGCGGUGCAAACGUCGCUGGCGCAUUUGUGCAAAAGAGCGUUUUCGGCGCGCGUGGACCCAACUAUGCGCAAGCAACAACGUGGUCUCGUCGCCGGCACGACGACAACGCACUCACGUCGUAUUUGACCGUUUUCCAAGAGGGGCCCGAAAGAGAGAGAGAGAGAAAAAAAAAACGUCACACUCGGGCGAAGUGCUCGUGGAACUCAAGAACGUGAACGGCGACUCGUCGAAACAAGUUGUCACUCAAGUCGCACACCGCUGCGUGACCCUUUGACCUGCUGUCCUGUGAAUUGGGCUCCUCUGUGUUUUGACUGCACCCAAGAAGCAGUGGUGUUUCGAAGUGCACGUGGAUAGCACUGCAACUGCAUGUGAUAGAAGACCAUACGUGGCUCGUCGCUCGCAACGUCGUUUGCGCUCGAAGAAACAAAAGAAAAAGAAAGCACUACGUCGGGGUGGACUUUGUUGUGUCUCGUCCAACAGUCCCCGUGGGGAAGAAAAUCGAAACGUUACAAGCACGUUCCGCACUUGGCCGUCGGUCUCCGUUUCGCCGAGCGGCGAUACAGUUCGAGCCCACGAAAUCGAUCUCGGCUCCCUUCGCCGCUGACACAGAGAGCGCGUUGCUCCCGAGCGAAACCAACUCCUUGAGUGUUUACAGAACCGUUACACCGCGCUGUUGACGCCUUCUUGCGAUACCCGGAAUACCGGGUGUUUUUUGAGGUUCCAGUGUUGAUCCGGCAGCGUCGCGGGUCUCUUGUAGCAGUGACGACAAACGGGCGAGCGAACGUCGCGGCGUUCGGCAAGAAGCUGCAUCGAGUGGUGUUGUGACAGAGAAGAGAGACACGUGGGCGUCCGAGAAAAUUGUCGCAGGUGUUUGACGAUCGGUACUUCUGUCGCCCGCCCCGCGAAGUCGGCUAUUCGUCGCGACUCGCGCCUUUGUUUGUGCAUGCGAGGCUGCGGUGUUGUCGUCGUCGAGAUCCGACCUCGUCACGGAUAAAUUCCGGCGCCGGUCGUCGUGGGACGAAACGCCGGCGAGGAAGCGGCGCGAACCGGCCGAUCAAGGCUUCUUCCUUGGCAGGGUUGCCAACGGCAAAGUACCCUUCACAGGGGCUCACUGAAAACUGCGAAACAUGGAAGAUAUUACGGUGGCGCCUGUCACGGACUCCAGCUAACAGCCUGGUUUCAAGUCUAUCGAAGCCUUCCGGAGCUUACUGCACCGUAAUCUUCGAGAAAGUAUUCCCGGCCUGCCGCCUGCUAACUCAUACGCACUAAUCGAUCGUCGUCAAUGACGCAUUGACCGAGACAAGUUUUAGCGAGAGACUUCGCAACCCUUGAGGUAUCAGUGGCGUUCGGCUGAAAUUCUUGAACGUUCGGACGAAGCGGUUCCCUCGUAUAAAUGCUAUUUCAUUUCUGGCGAAUCUCCUACAACUGGAACCGGCAAGACGAUGCAGACGAGUAUGUUUCAACAGUGCCGUGCGUUAUAGAGCAUCGUCUCAAGAAGCAAGCACAAGCAUUAGCUGCACAAAGGCUGCCUCUCAAAUUGCGGAACACUUCGCGUUUCACAGACAGGCUACUCUGUGUCAACGGGAGUUGAGAAAGAGGGGAAAGAAAUGCACGCCUCGAGGCCCAGCGCAUCGAGAAAACUGCGAGAAGCCCACUAAUAUUAGCCCAACACUAGGCGGC
RNAcentral lists this long non-coding RNA (2103 nucleotides) under Dermacentor andersoni. Its description in RNAcentral is "uncharacterized LOC126517588". Lineage: Eukaryota; Metazoa; Arthropoda; Arachnida; Ixodida; Ixodidae. The record is from RNAcentral.